This 3398-nucleotide small RNA is filed under the name Rattus norvegicus (Norway rat). RNAcentral describes it as "uncharacterized LOC102551656". Lineage: Eukaryota; Metazoa; Chordata; Mammalia; Rodentia; Muridae. The record is from RNAcentral.
CACACAUACAUAUGCAUGUGACCCAAGCUGUAGAAACAGGUGAAAUAAUGAGGGAAUAUGUAUUGAUGACUUGGAUUCUGCCUUGUCAAGGACCAUAGGUGCCUCAGACCAAUGGUCUUCUUCAUCCCUCUGAGAUUUAGAGGGGUGACAAAACCUUCCUCUGCUCCCAGUAUGAGUAUUUAUGAUCAAACUUCCUCCUCUCAGAUAACUACAGCCUGAGACAGAUUCCCCUACUAAGUCCUACCAAGACUAGCUAGCUGCUCCUCCUGCUAAACACACUGAUAGUCCAGGGUUUUGUGUAGCUGGUGCUGGUAAGUAUGGCCUUCCUGAUCCCCACUUCUCUAUAUAUGUGUCUGUCCUUUCUUCAUUUUCUUGUCCUUCCAGUCAGGUUGCCAGGACUGAGCUAUUGAGGCCACAGUGCCCAGGGAGACCCACUUAGGCUGAAUCUGCCCAAGGAGCAAGGGUUGCCAGGCAGCAGGACCAGGAUGACAUUCUGCUCGGUGUGAGGCAAGACCAUGGUGUAAGAAUGGUAGUCAGGCCAGGAGUAUGAACUGUGGAGAGGUGGCCAAGAUGCCUACAUAGGGGUCAGCAGCAGACUCGAACUUCUCUGGUAAAGUCUCUAGACUCCCAAGAGAAGAACCCUGCUGGACACAAGCAGGAAACUAGGUCCCCCGAAGGAGAACAGGAAUAUGGCAAAAAGGCUUGGAUUCCAGAUUCAAGAACCAUUUACAGUGAGACCUAGUGAUAGCCAUCAAUAGUCUGGGUGAGGUGAAAGAGGGCAGGACCCCAGCAUUCUGUGCUGUCUCACAUACCAGGAGGAAGGAGGCCUAGAGUCCUGAAAUCUGGGAAGAGCUGUCCAGCUGCUCACCCUGAGCUGAGGUCCACAGAUGGCUUUGGUCAAGAUUGUCCUCCUCUGAGCAAAGACCAAAGAUGUGCUAACACUGCAAGUUCCUGCCCACUACCCAAGUGUGUGUGCCAUUCACCACAGCCUAUGCAGAGAAAGGCUGGAAGAGGUCUGUGUUCAAUGUGAUUGCAGUACCUUCAAAGUGCCUGUAAGCCACGGGUGAGUAGGCAAACUUCCUCGGGUGUCAGGUUCCACAUCUACUGAUGGCAAAGACAGAUGCCUGUGGCUCUUAUGGAGGUUCUGUGAGACAAACUUCAUAAAGCGAGUGCUUAGCACCACUGUGGUGACGUCAACACAGCUAAGUAUGGUUAUUACCACUGUGGAUAUAGCUAAGCAUUGUCUUCUACGGCCCUCUCCCCUCUAGCUCCUGUAGCUGAAGUACACUGCAGAUAGAGUUCUGCUCUAUGGCCAGGCUGCGGAAAGGUGGCCUUGACGGGUAGCUCUCAGAAGCAUGAUGGAAGUCAGCAGUGAGCAUCUCCUUCGUGGCACACUGGCAGGAGCCGUAGCACCAGGACGACGUUUGGUAUGCCAGGCACAUCCUGUGCCUCACACAUCCAGGGACUGCAAUCAGGUAGCUGAUGAGAAUUCAAGUCACAUCGCCUGGACCAUUGCCGCAGUGAACUGAUUCAUGCUGCUACUUCGAGGUGGGAGAAGGGACAGUGGGGCCCAGAGACAAACCAGCCUGGCUCUAUUAUACAGCUGCUGUUCUCAAGCUGAAACGUUCCGUCCUUUCCCACUCCCUGUCUUGCUGCUGAGCUGGCUACCUGUGAAGCCUGAAGAUUCCAGCCCCAGGUUCUGACUGAACAAUGGUAUUAUGUGAUGUAUAAAGAGUACCCAGGCAACGGAGACAGGCAUGGCUUCAUUCACUCAGUGCCCAGUGGCUUUUGAACGCUCCAGCAUUCAGCCUUUAUCCUGAGCAGCUCUGGGCCUCUCCCCUCCCAUUUAUUGCUCAGCUGUCCUCAUCAUAAUCUUUCCCCUGUCUGCAAGAGAGCCAUGAAUGAGGGAAGGAAAGGGGGGAGACAAAGAUACUCUGGUAACCAGAAAGACUCCUGAUUGUGGGUGAAGAGAUCUGAGGUUUGGUCUCUGGUGCCAUCACUCAUGAGGGAACCUUGAGUGCAUCUCUAGUCAGCUCCAGGUUCCCUUCCCGAUCUAAGUCUCUGGUAAGAGAAUCAGGAAGAAAGUCCAACGGGAGCUUUGCCAACUCUGACAUUCUAUCAUGUGGUUGUGACAAGUCCCCAGGACCACUGAGGAAUGGAGAGAGCUAACCAACGGGGACAAAGUACCAGAAACACCUAUUGUGACUCAUCUGUGAUGGUGACUAACAAGACCAAGGUCCACAGAUGAGGAAGUUAUGCCUGUGAGAGAGGUCAAGUUGCCCAAGCAUGACCCAGUCUGACCUGGCUUGUGUUGCUGACCAUCAGGAACCCCUCACCAAGCAUCAACACAGAUAUCCAGAGGCCCAGGGCUAGUGGUGGGAGCUGAGCCUCAAAGGCUCUUGAUUCUGUGAACUCCUGAAUGCAGUGAAGUGAAGCACCUGCUCAGAACCAUCAUCGAUGAUCUUGGAGAAACAUACAAAAGAAAUGCUGUCCCCAUGCAGAGGGCGAAGGCAGUACUGGUAGGUGUACAGUUCUGGAAGGCUCCAUGGACUUGACAAAGUGCUCUCCUAGAUCAAGAAGGACAAGCAGAAUCUUAAGAGAGCUGACUGGACAGGUGGGAAGAGUGUGCUCCAACAGAGGCUGCAGAGGAGAGCAUUGUUCUGGAGAAACACUGAGCUUGAGGACACAGCAGCCCUCUGAUCAAAGACUCUCAAGAAGACCGAACUGAACUGAGCUGAAGGCAUGACCUUCCCAUGUCUAAGAGAAAGCAAAAAUAGUUGAAUCCAGACCUUCCCCAUCUGGACAAGCAGAGUCCAGAGCAGGUCUAGCCCAACCCUCAGUGAACACUGUAGAGGGAGACAUGAAGCAGAGGAAGACUCGGUGAGAGCCAGAAAUGUGAUGAAAUACCAACAGAUAAGCUCAGCAAAGCACCUUCACAGUCUUGAUUUCUUAUAAAUAACAAGUGCUCCGUGUGGUGUUGGCCAGGCUAAGCCUCCCUGUGCAUGAAUUCUUUUCAUUCAUUUCUUCAUCUGUUGUGGAAAGAGAUUUGAGUUGCCCAUUUCCCCAAUGAGUUGAGCUCUGUGGUGAAUGAAUCAUUUGUCUAAGUCUCUGACUAGAAAUGACAGUGACAGAAGCAUCCAGGGUUGUCUGACUCCAAAGCCCACCUGAGGUGGGUCUGUCUUCAGUGAUGGGAAGCAGAGCAACCCUGGAAAUGUAUGCUACAGGAUCAUUAGCAUGAUUUAAUAAGCCGUUCCCUUGAGCCAGGAUUGCCAACAGCUCCAUCUGACAUGGCCAUAUGGGUCACCACACUAGGGGAAGAGGCUAACUAUCUCCAGUCUUUGUGGGAAACCCUGUCCUGGCCAGGAAGGGGAAGUUUUAAGUGAUGUAUUAAAAACAGG